CCUACGGGAGGCAGCAGUGGGGAAUAUUGCACAAUGGGGGAAACCCUGAUGCAGCGACGCCGCGUGAAGGAAGAAGUACCUCGGUAUGUAAACUUCUAUCUGCAGGGAAGAAAAUGACGGUACCUGACUAAGAAGCCCCGGCUAACUACGUGCCAGCAGCCGCGGUAAUACGUAGGGGGCAAGCGUUAUCCGGAUUUACUGGGUGUAAAGGGAGCGUAGGCGGUAGAGCAAGUCAGAAGUGAAAGCCCGGGGCUCAACCCCGGGACUGCUUUUGAAACUGUUGAAAUAGAGUGCAGGAGAGGUAAGUGGAAUUCCUAGUGUAGCGGUGAAAUGCGUAGAUAUUAGGAGGAACACCAGUGGCGAAGGCGGCUUGCUGGACUGUAAAUGACGCUGAGGCUCGAAAGCGUGGGGAGCAAACAGGAUUAGAUACCCCGGUAGUC
RNAcentral lists this ribosomal RNA (440 nucleotides) under uncultured bacterium. RNAcentral's name for it is "partial 16S ribosomal RNA". It matches the Rfam family "Bacterial small subunit ribosomal RNA", at positions 338 to 795 of the family's 1533-position model. The record is from RNAcentral.